CAUAGGUUAAUGAGGCGAACCGGGGGAACUGAAACAUCUAAGUACCCCGAGGAAAAGAAAUCAACCGAGAUUCCCCCAGUAGCGGCGAGCGAACGGGGAGGAGCCCAGAGCCUGAAUCAGUGUGUGUGUUAGUGGAAGCGUCUGGAAAGGCGCGCGAUACAGGGUGACAGCCCCGUACACAAAAAUGCACAUGCUGUGAGCUCGAUGAGUAGGGCGGGACACGUGGUAUCCUGUCUGAAUAUGGGGGGACCAUCCUCCAAGGCUAAAUACUCCUGACUGACCGAUAGUGAACCAGUACCGUGAGGGAAAGGCGAAAAGAACCCCGGCGAGGGGAGUGAAAAAGAACCUGAAACCGUGUACGUACAAGCAGUGGGAGCCUCUUAAUGGGGUGACUGCGUACCUUUUGUAUAAUGGGUCAGCGACUUAUAUUCUGUAGCAAGGUUAACCGAAUAGGGGAGCCGAAGGGAAACCGAGUCUUAACUGGGCGUUAAGUUGCAGGGUAUAGACCCGAAACCCGGUGAUCUAGCCAUGGGCAGGUUGAAGGUUGGGUAACACUAACUGGAGGACCGAACCGACUAAUGUUGAAAAAUUAGCGGAUGACUUGUGGCUGGGGGUGAAAGGCCAAUCAAACCGGGAGAUAGCUGGUUCUCCCCGAAAGCUAUUUAGGUAGCGCCUCGUGAAUUCAUCUCCGGGGGUAGAGCACUGUUUCGGCAAGGGGGUCAUCCCGACUUACCAACCCGAUGCAAACUGCGA
Molecule: ribosomal RNA, 753 nt
Filed under: Escherichia coli
Lineage: Bacteria; Pseudomonadati; Pseudomonadota; Gammaproteobacteria; Enterobacterales; Enterobacteriaceae
Description: partial 23S ribosomal RNA
Rfam family: Bacterial large subunit ribosomal RNA
Source: RNAcentral